Molecule: ribosomal RNA, 467 nt
Filed under: uncultured bacterium
Lineage: Bacteria
Description: partial 16S ribosomal RNA
Rfam family: Bacterial small subunit ribosomal RNA
Source: RNAcentral
ACGAACGCUGGCGGCGUGCUUAACACAUGCAAGUCGCACGGAAAGGCCCUGCUUUUGUGGGGUGCUCGAGUGGCGAGCGGGUGAGUAACACGUGAGUAACCUGCCCUUGACUUUGGGAUAACUUCAGGAAACUGGGGCUAAUACCGGAUAGGAGCUCCUGCUGCAUGGUGGGGGUUGGAAAGUUUCGGCGGUUGGGGAUGGACUCGCGGCUUAUCAGCUUGUUGGUGGGGUAGUGGCUUACCAAGGCUUUGACGGGUAGCCGGCCUGAGAGGGUGACCGGCCACAUUGGGACUGAGAUACGGCCCAGACUCCUACGGGAGGCAGCAGUGGGGAAUAUUGCACAAUGGGCGGAAGCCUGAUGCAGCAACGCCGCGUGCGGGAUGACGGCCUUCGGGUUGUAAACCGCUUUCGCCUGUGACGAAGCGUGAGUGACGGUAAUGGGUAAAGAAGCACCGGCUAACUACGUG